AGUCCCGGAAACGGACCGUGUUGGGUGAAGGUGACGGCGUCGAGCGUGAGUGUCCCUCUGUGUAGAUUAAACCUGCGCUCCCUGUUUCCCAUUUCCACAGCCGAUGUCCAGGGUCGAUACGGGCCUUAAAAUCCCCGCACACUCCACCCCAGAAAGGCGGGAGACAAUGCAUUGGAGCUGCAAAUCUUCUCUGAGUCUGAAGCAUCCUGCCUGAUGCGUUUGCUCACAUUGACCCAUGCCUUCCCUCAGUCCCUCUCAUCUCUACUGAGAUUCCGUCUCACCCUGACCCUGUGACAUGAACUUCUGAAGAGUCCACUGGGCAUGGUCCUGGGAAGGGCUCACACCCAGACAUGGAUGGAGAUGGGUUGACAUUCAGGGACGUGGCCAUCGAAUUCUCUCAAGACGAGUGGAAAUGCCUGAACUCUACACAGAGGACUUUAUACAGGGAUGUGAUGUUGGAGAACUACAGGAACCUGGUCUCCCUGGUGUAUUAUCCCAUGUGGGAGCACAGGAAAGAGCCCUGGACCAUAGAAAGCCAAGU
Molecule: small RNA, 541 nt
Filed under: Pongo abelii (Sumatran orangutan)
Lineage: Eukaryota; Metazoa; Chordata; Mammalia; Primates; Hominidae
Description: processed transcript
Source: RNAcentral